Neonectria ditissima is the source of this 79-nucleotide transfer RNA. It matches the Rfam family "tRNA". From Rfam's summary of the family: Transfer RNA (tRNA) molecules are approximately 80 nucleotides in length. NCBI's taxonomy places the organism in Eukaryota, Fungi, Ascomycota, Sordariomycetes, Hypocreales, Nectriaceae. The record is from Rfam.
GCCCUGUUGGCUCAGUGGUAGAGCGCGUCACUAGUAUUCAGUAAUGAUGAGGUCACUGGUUCGACUCCAGUACAGGGCA